UGGGGAAUUUUGGACAAUGGGCGAAAGCCUGAUCCAGCCAUGCCGCGUGCAGGAUGAAGGCCUUCGGGUUGUAAACUGCUUUUUGUACGGAACGAAAAGACUCUGGUUAAUACCUGGGGUCCAUGACGGUACCGUAAGAAUAAGCACCGGCUAACUACGUGCCAGCAGCCGCGGUAAUACGUAGGGUGCAAGCGUUAAUCGGAAUUACUGGGCGUAAAGCGUGCGCAGGCGGUUAUAUAAGACAGAUGUGAAAUCCCCGGGCUCAACCUGGGAACUGCAUUUUGUGACUGUAUAGCUAGAGUACGGCAGAGGGGGAUGUAAUUCCGCNUGUAGCAGUGAAAUGCGUAGAUAUGCGGAGGAACACCGAUGGCGAAGGCAAUCCCCUGGGCCUGUACUGACGCUCAUGCACGAAAGCGUGGGGGAGCAAACAGGAUUAGAUACCCUGGUAGUCCACGCCCUAAACGAUGUCAACUGGUUGUUGGGUCUUCACUGACUCAGUAACGAAGCUAACGCGUGAAGUUGACCGCCUGGGGAGUACGGCCGCAAGGUUG
RNAcentral lists this ribosomal RNA (551 nucleotides) under uncultured bacterium. RNAcentral's name for it is "partial 16S ribosomal RNA". It matches the Rfam family "Bacterial small subunit ribosomal RNA", at positions 355 to 896 of the family's 1533-position model. The record is from RNAcentral.